Molecule: long non-coding RNA, 2096 nt
Organism: Branchiostoma floridae (Florida lancelet)
Lineage: Eukaryota; Metazoa; Chordata; Leptocardii; Amphioxiformes; Branchiostomatidae
Exons: 2
Source: RefSeq, a predicted model, not a curated record
AAGGUCUUUGUUGUUUUCUUUGUCUAAUUUUUGGCGAUUAAUCUGUAUUUAAAGGCCAAAAUGCCGAAGAAAAUGAGCAAAACAGUGGAAGAGGUGAUCGAGGAGGUCACUACUGCUGACUCUGGGGAUGAAUAUCCUUUCUCAGCCGACGAAUCCACGGAGAAUAGUGGGGAGGGCGAGCACGUGCAAGCAAACAGCUAGAGCAUAAACAUUGACAUUUCUGUCAAUGAUCAUGGCCGUGGAGGAGUCCAGGGGCAAGGUUGGGCCAAGGUCGGGGCCGGGGUGGCAGACGGGGUUGCGGGGGAGUCAGUGGAAGAAGCCAGGGAACUUGGGGACGUGGCUGGGCACCCACGAGGGGACGCGCACAUACAUGUAGCAGACGACGUGGCACCUGAGGGAUUUAAAUCCCCCAGCCUGCUGCCGCUGCCACACAACAGCUGAUCCACGUCUGGAUUAGAAAAACUGGCAGCCUGUAGAUGGUGACAGCUUACCUCAUCUUCCACGUUUUCAUUGGACACAGUGACCAGGCAAUGCUGAUCUUGUCAGGACCUCUCAGGAACUGUUUACUCAUGGUGCAAGCUAUACUGAUGGUACUAGGGUCACUAGGGUGGGUUAUAUUGAAGUAAUGUGGAAAAUGUAUGUUUUUAUUGCUUUUACCUUUUUAUUAUGUAUCAAGUUGGUGUUCUCAAGUUGAUUAUCUUGUCUGAAGACAGUAUGGACUGUAAGCUUUAACCUGAUAUGCAUCAUGUGUAUGUACUAUCUUUUUUUAGGUAUAUAUAUAGGAAGAAGUGAAAUGUAUUGUGAGGAAUCAGCUUAUUAGCUAAAUAGAUGGUUCAGCACCAUAGACAAAACUGAGCCAUAAACUCACCUGUAGUUUCAUCUGUAUACCAGUUGUUCUUCUGUAUGCAAUUCUGAUCUUGUCAGAACCUCUCAGGAACUGUAUACUCAUGGUGCAAGCUAUGCUGAUGGUACUAGGGUGGGUUGUAUUGCAGGUUUCUGGAAAUUGUAUGUUUUUAUUGCUUUCACCUUUUUAUUAUGUUUGUAGUUAAUGUUAUCAUGUUGAUAAUCUUGUCUGAAGACAGUAUGGACUGUAAGCAUUAACCUGAUAUGCAUCAUGUGUAUGUACUAUCUUUCAUAAAGGUAUAGGAAUACAUUGUGAGGAAUCAGCUUAUUAGCUGAAUACUUGGUUCAGCACCAUAGACAAAACCGAGCCAUAAACUCACCUGUAGUGACACCUGUAUACCAGUUGUUCUUCUGUAUGCAAUGCUGAUCUUGUCAGGACCUCUCAGGAACUGUAUACUCAUGGUACAAGCUAUGCUGAUGGUACUAGGGUGGGUUGUAUUGCAGGUAUGUGGAAAUUGUAUGUUUUUAUUGCUUUCACCUUUUUAUUAUGUUUGUAGUUAAUGUUAUCAUGUUGAUAAUCUUGUCUGAAGACAGUAUGGACUGUAAGCUUUAAGCUGAUAUGCAUCAUGUGUAUGUACUAUCUUUCAUAAAGGUAUAGGAAGAACUGAAAUGUAUUGUGAGGAAUCAGCUUGUUAGCUAAAUAGAUGGUUCAGCACCAUAGACAAAACCGAGCCAUAAACUCACCUGUAGUGACAUCUGUAUACCAGUUGUUCUUCUGUAUGCAAUGCUGAUCUUGUCAGAACCUCUUAGGUACUGUAUACUCAUGGUACAAGCUAUGCUGAUGGUACUAGGGUGGUUUGUAUUGAAGAAAUGCAGAAAAUGUAUGUUUUUAUUGCUUUUACCUUUUUAUUAUGUAUACAGAUGGUGUUAUCAUGUUGAUAAUCUUGUCUGAAGAUAGUAUGGACUGUAAGCUUUAACCUGAUAUGCAUGAUGUGUAUGUACUAUCUUUCAUAAAGGUAUAGGAUGAAGUGAAAUGUAUUGUGAGGAAUCAGCUUAUUAGCUGAAUACUUGGUUCAGCACCAAAGACAACACCAAGCCAUAAACUCACACCUGUAGUGACACCUGUAUACCAUUUUUUCUUCUGUAUGCGAUGCUGAUCUUGUCAUGAUAUCCCAGCAAUACUGUAAGCUUUAAUACAUAUCCUUUUUGUAUGGUUUGAACAGAAUAAUGCAUAAAGAUUAUAAAACUAUGCA